Metarhizium majus ARSEF 297 is the source of this 614-nucleotide non-coding RNA. The record is from Rfam. Lineage: Eukaryota; Fungi; Ascomycota; Sordariomycetes; Hypocreales; Clavicipitaceae.
CGCCUUAAGCUUAUGGAUAUAUUUAAGUAACGGCCUCUAAGUUUAUAUUAUCUAAAGAUUUAAACGAUGAGAAAAUCUUUUUUACUAAGGACGACAUUUUAGUGUAAAAUGUACUGGAAAAAUAGUAAAUAUAUUUAUAGUUAGCUUAGCUUCUAUAAAUGAAGAAUAACCGUACCUAGAAUCUGAAACAAGUAAGCUAGUAGAGAAUACGAAGGCGUAAAUGAGCUAACAAUCAUAAAGGAACUCGGCAAAUUGACUACCGUAACUUCGGAAUAAGGAGGGCUCAUUAUUCUUGAUUAAUAUCAAGUAAAGAGGAAGAAGCAUGAAAUAAUGUUGUACGACUGUUUAAUUAAAACACAGCACUCUGCUGAAAGAUUAAAAAUCUAAGUAUAGAGUGUGAUAUCUGCCCGGUGCCGGCUGGUUAACAGAGAUAAUUGAAUAUACUACUAUUUGAUGUCGACGGAAACCCCGGUUAAAGGCGGCCUUAACGUGAGGGUCCUAAGGUAGCGAAAUGCCUUGGCCGUUAAAUGCGGUCUUGCAUGAAUGGUGUAACGAUACAACAGCUGUCUCUAUGAUUGACUCAGUGAAAUUGGAAUAGCAGUGCAGAUACUGCU